CAGAACCAUGGUAGUGUCCAAAUCCAUUGCAAGCAGGAGAUCAUUUACCAUUUUAGUAAGAGUUCUCUCCAUGGAAUGGUGCUUGUUAAAUCCAGACUGCA
Molecule: long non-coding RNA, 101 nt
Organism: Thalassophryne amazonica
Lineage: Eukaryota; Metazoa; Chordata; Actinopteri; Batrachoidiformes; Batrachoididae
Exons: 3
Source: RefSeq, a predicted model, not a curated record